This 319-nucleotide ribosomal RNA is filed under the name Trichoderma sp. SW102. Its description in RNAcentral is "LSU rRNA". It matches the Rfam family "Eukaryotic large subunit ribosomal RNA", at positions 331 to 670 of the family's 3401-position model. The record is from RNAcentral. Lineage: Eukaryota; Fungi; Ascomycota; Sordariomycetes; Hypocreales; Hypocreaceae.
AGACCGAUAGCGAACAAGUAGAGUGAUCGAAAGAUGAAAAGCACCUUGAAAAGAGGGUUAAACAGUACGUGAAAUUGUUGAAAGGGAAGCGCUUGUGACCAGACUUGGGCGCGGCGAAUCAUCCGGGGUUCUCUCCGGUGCACUUCGCCGUGUUCAGGCCAGCAUCAGUUCGGCGCGGGGGAAAAAGGCUUCGGGAACGUGGCUGCUCCGGCAGUGUUAUAGCCCGUUGCAUAAUACCCUGCGCUGGACUGAGGACCGCGCAUCUGCAAGGAUGCUGGCGUAAUGGUCACCAGCNACCCGUCUUGAAACACGGACCAAG